GUAUUUACCUGGAUGGAGUUAAUGAGCGAUCGUCAAAGCUCAAGGCCUAGGCUAGUGACCUUCAUUGCACUUUGGAGGUGUAUUAGGCUAAGGUCUACCAAAUAGGUGGAGCGACGUCAUAAUUUGUGGCAGCGUGGGCUUGCGUUCGCGUAGCUCCUAU
RNAcentral lists this small nuclear RNA (160 nucleotides) under Ipomoea nil (Japanese morning glory). Its description in RNAcentral is "U1 spliceosomal RNA". It matches the Rfam family "U1 spliceosomal RNA". From Rfam's summary of the family: U1 is a small nuclear RNA (snRNA) component of the spliceosome (involved in pre-mRNA splicing). Its 5' end forms complementary base pairs with the 5' splice junction, thus defining the 5' donor site of an intron. The record is from Rfam by way of RNAcentral. Lineage: Eukaryota; Viridiplantae; Streptophyta; Magnoliopsida; Solanales; Convolvulaceae.